RNAcentral lists this non-coding RNA (22 nucleotides) under Arabidopsis thaliana (thale cress). The record is from RNAcentral. Lineage: Eukaryota; Viridiplantae; Streptophyta; Magnoliopsida; Brassicales; Brassicaceae.
UAACCCCCUUGUCGCGCAUGUG